GAUGAAGAACGUAGCGAAAUGCGUUAAGUAAUGUGAAUUGCAGAAUUCAGUGAAUCAUCGAAUCUUUGAACGCACAUUGCGCCCGCCAGUAUUCUGGCGGGCAUGCCUGUUCGAGCGUCAUUACAACCCUCAGGCCCCCGGGCCUGGCGUUGGGGAUCGGCGGAAGCCCCCUGCGGGCACAACGCCGUCCCCCAAAUACAGUGGCGGUCCCGCCGCAGCUUCCAUUGCGUAGUAGCUAACACCUCGCAACUGGAGAGCGGCGCGGCCACGCCGUAAAACACCCAACUUCUGAAUGUUGACCUCGAAUCAGGUAGGAAUACCCGCUGAACAUAAGCAUAUCAAUAAGCGGAGGA
This 353-nucleotide unclassified non-coding RNA is filed under the name soil metagenome. RNAcentral describes it as "partial contains 5.8S ribosomal RNA, internal transcribed spacer 2, and large subunit ribosomal RNA". The stretch from base 1 to 120 matches the Rfam family "5.8S ribosomal RNA", at positions 35 to 154 of the family's 154-position model. The record is from RNAcentral.